Molecule: ribosomal RNA, 411 nt
Filed under: uncultured bacterium
Lineage: Bacteria
Description: bacterial SSU rRNA
Rfam family: Bacterial small subunit ribosomal RNA
Source: RNAcentral
AAUGGGCGAAAGCCUGACGCAGCAACGCCGCGUGAGUGAUGAAGGCCUUCGGGUCGUAAAGCUAUGUCAGAAGGGAAGAAAUGGAAGGGUGUUAAUACCAUCUUUUCUUGACGGUACCUUCAAAGGAAGCACCGGCUAACUCCGUGCCAGCAGCCGCGGUAAUACGGAGGAUCCUAGCGUUAUCCGGAUUUACUGGGUNUAAAGGGUGCGUAGGCGGGGCGCUAAGUCAGCGGUGAAAGGCGGGGGCUCAACCGUCGGAAUGCCGUUGCUACUGGCGUCCUUGAAUGCGGUCAAGGCGGGUGGAAUGCGUGGUGUAGCGGUGAAAUGCAUAGAUAUCACGCAGAACGCCGAUAGCGAAGGCAGCCCGCCGGGCCGUGAUUGACGCUGAGGCACGAAAGCGUGGGGAUCGAA